This 2509-nucleotide long non-coding RNA is filed under the name Equus caballus (horse). RNAcentral describes it as "lncRNA (ENSECAG00000029599.3)". Lineage: Eukaryota; Metazoa; Chordata; Mammalia; Perissodactyla; Equidae. The record is from RNAcentral.
GCAGAGCCGCGGUGGCGGGACCCCAGGCCUCAUGCUCAGCCUCUUCUUGCUGAGGGUGCACGCCCCCUCACAUCCAGGGGCUCCCACGCUAGUUCUGCCAUAUGAAACCCAGUCAGAAACAACAGUACCACCAGGCCCGUCCCUAAGACUUCCCACAGACGCCACUGUUCUCGCUCUCUGCUCACCCCACUGUCUGGAGGCAGAUGAUGGUAGACGCUGGAUGCAAGGAGCCUGCGACAGCCUCCCGUGAGCCGGCAGGGCUGUGACGGCAGCACCACGCUGUCGGUCUGUCGGAGUGGCCAGGUCCACCCGCUGGGCUCACGGCAACGUGAGCUGUCCCACCAACACUCAUCACAAUGGAGGGAGGUGGACUGAGUGGCUUCACUUUGCAAUUAACUCCACAAAGAAGGAAAACACUGCUCAGGAAGUUAAGGGAACUUUCUCUGGCCGUGACGCUUGUAGGCAUUGAUGCCAAGACCUCCACACUGAACACUUUGUGCUUCUGUGGAACCAUCCAAGAACAAACUGGCAGAGCCGCUGUAAUUCUCCAGCAGAGAUUUACUGGGCAGCAUUCCAGGUGCCAAGCGAGGACGGAAACAAGCACGCGAGCCAUGGAUCCCAAAGCAAUCAACAGUACUUCUUUAUUACUUGACUUUUCGGCACCGAGAGCUGGGCCGUUCGCUGUCACAGAGCCACCAAGCGUGCAGCCCACUGAGCAGCAGCAGCUCGUUCUGGACCAUCGCCGAGGAGGGCGCAUAAGUUCCGGCUGGAUGAGAAAGCUCGGGCCAGAGCAGGGGGUCAGGAGCUGGGCACCAUAUGAGGACAGUCAGCUGAGCUGUUGACCCCCAUAAAGUCGGGGUCAGAAGCCAGAUUGCAGCAAGCUGGAUACAUAUGUCUCAAUAAAUUGGAUUCUUUCAAAAACUUUAAAGUGAAAACAGAACAUGCAGAUCACUCAUAGUCGGUAGACUUUUGGCCAUUUCUAGAAAGAAGAGUCUGCACAGCAAAAGCAUGGAAGACCAGAGAAUGUCGGUGCCCCACACAGCAGCGGCCAGCUGCUCCAGUGUCGAGCGCCUGUCACACGCUGGGCAUCGAGGCCACAGGUGCCCGGCAGCGCCCCUACCGCAGACGACCUGACAGUGACCAGCCAGGCCCCUCCUUGCGCCAGACCCUGAGACGAGGGCCCUAGGGGACAGCAGAGCCGGCCCCCUGGAGAGGCUCUGCAGCCCUGCAGCCAGAGCCCCUCACGAAGACUGAGUGUCGACUUGCCGCGACAGCAGGUGACACCUGUGGCCCUGAAGGUCGGCAGUGGGCCGAGCCCGUGCUGAGGGUGGACGGCGUCGCCUCGUCAAUCCUGGAGCAGCCAGGCGGGGGGCCAUGUCCCAGCCCCCAGGUGCAUGCCAGGAGGGAUGGAGCGCUUUCCUCCUCUGUGGCGUUCCCCAGCUGCCCACUGGCAGGGUGAAGCCAGGCCUCCUGCCCAGACCCUGACCUCGGCACGGGUGUACCCCCUGCACAGUCCGCCUCCGGCUCUGACGGCCGGACAGCAGCGUGAACGAGUCUGUGCUUGUGACCCACGGCCGUCCCAGGCUGGCGCCUAGGAAGCCUGUCUUCUGGGGACGCGUCUGCUGAGACGAUGGAAACCAUUUCCCGGCUCUGCUUAUCGCCGAAUCCCAUUUGCAAAAAGUUUCCAUCGUCCGUUUCUUGAUACCAAAUCUCAGGAAACCGAGUAAGUAUUCAGUUUUCUGUCUUCUCAGCAGAUGCAACAAAACCAACAGCAGCUGUACCAGAAAUCUGGGGACUGAUUUUCUGGACUGGAUUCCGAAAUAUUUGCAACUGGGGACUGGGUGUUGCCAGACAUGGCCCAUAGAGUGAGUCAAUUAUCAGCCGUGAUGACCUAAAUCGACUCCGUGUGACAGCUCGUGCAGGCUGCUCCGGGGCAAACUCCCAGUUAGCGCCAUCACCUAGGACCCUGGUGGGUGUGGCCCCUCAGCGGCUCCAUCAUCCCCUCCCUCUGGUUCCAAAGGGACAGUGCGAGCCCGUCGGUGCCGAAGAAGCUCGCUGUCUCUGGACAUGAGCUGCUCUCCCCUUGAAAGCCGCUGCUUCCCCACCCCGCUGGCCUCACCCCCCUGCCUGAGAGCACCUGCCUUUAGCAUCUACAGAAAUCUACUGGGUCAAAAUAAAUAAUGAGCCGUUCUCUCACUUCAGAGCAGUCACUUCGGACGUCCAGCAGACGCUGGGCCCAUAGGACUCCGCAGGCCUUCCCGACAUGGACUCACACUCCAGGGUGGGAACAGCAAGACGUGAUGCCACAGGCGGGGCCAAGAUCUCAGGGCUGAGACCCCGAGUUCUCCGUGUGGCGGCUGGGACGGGGAGGUUUUCUCUGCGUGUGGAAGGCAGACUCUGCAGUCUGUUACUGCUUGUUCAGGAAUCACAGGGAAGAAACAGAGCUGGAUGUGGUUAUAAUGUCUAAGGGGCGACGAGUUGGCUAACAACUGUUCUGCUGCAAACCACG